AAGCUCGUAGUUGAAUUUCGGGAUUAGUACGUUGGUCGUGCCUUAGGUACGUACUGGUGUUACUGGUUCCUACCUUCUGACGAACCAUCAUGUCAUUAAUUCGGCGUGGUGGGGAAUCAGGACUGUUACUUUGAAAAAAUUAGAGUGUUUAAAGCAGGCUCGCGCUUGAAUACAUUAGCAUGGAAUAAUGAAAUAGGACGUUGAUCCUAUUUUGUUGGUUUCUAGGAUUGACGUAAUGAUUAAUAGGGAUAGUUGGG
This 257-nucleotide ribosomal RNA is filed under the name uncultured Glomus. RNAcentral's name for it is "partial 18S ribosomal RNA". It matches the Rfam family "Eukaryotic small subunit ribosomal RNA", at positions 624 to 886 of the family's 1831-position model. Lineage: Eukaryota; Fungi; Glomeromycota; Glomeromycetes; Glomerales; Glomeraceae. The record is from RNAcentral.